RNAcentral lists this ribosomal RNA (2296 nucleotides) under gut metagenome. RNAcentral describes it as "bacterial LSU rRNA". It matches the Rfam family "Bacterial large subunit ribosomal RNA", at positions 1 to 2290 of the family's 2925-position model. The record is from RNAcentral.
ACAAGUUGACAAGAGCAUCGGGUGGAUGCCUUGGCGUCGGAAGGCGAUGAAAGACGUGGUAAGCUGCGAAAAGCCUCGGGGAGAAGCUAAACAUUCUGUGAUCCGGGGAUUUCUGAAUGGGGAAACCCGGCGGAGGUCAUGCUCCGUCGCGGGCACUUGAAUACAUAAAGUGCCUAGCGCCAACUCAGGGAAGUGAAACAUCUCAGUACCUGAAGGAAAAGAAAUCAAACGAGACUCCCAAAGUAGCGGCGAGCGAAAUGGGAUGAGCCCAAACCGGCUGGAUUCGUUCAGCCGGGGUUGUAGGGCCGGCAUAUGUGAUUCAUGAGUAGGCAGGGGAAAUGAGCUGGAAAGCUCUGCCAGAGCGGGUGACAGCCCCGUACCUGAAACCGAAAGCGACACAGCCGGUACCUGAGUACCGCGAGACACGUGGAACCUCGUGGGAAUCCGGGAGGACCAUCUUCCAAGGCUAAGUACUAACCGACGACCGAUAGUGUACCAGUACCGUGAGGGAAAGGUGAAAAGAACCUCUGUUAGAGGAGUGAAAUAGAAUCUGAAACCUGGUGCUUACAAGCUGUGAGAGCGGACUUGUUCCGUGAUCACGUGCCUUUUGCAUAAUGAGUCAGCGAGUUAAUCUGUACUGCAAGGUUAAGCGUGAGUGGAGCCGUAGGGAAACCGAGUCUGAUAAGGGCGAUGAGUAGUGCGGAUUAGACCCGAAACCGGGUGAUCUAUCCAUGAGCAGGUUGAAGCAAGGGUAAAACCUUGUGGAGGACCGAACCAAUACCGGCUGAAAACGGUUUGGAUGACUUGUGGAUAGGGGUGAAAGGCCAAUCAAACCCGGUGAUAGCUGGUUCUCCCCGAAAUAUAUUGAGGUAUAGCCUCAUGGAUUGUCUACCGGAGGUAAAGCACUGACAGGGCUAGGGGUCCUACCAGAUUACCAAACCCUAUCAAACUCAGAAUGCCGGUCAGAUGUACCAUGGGAGUCAGACGGCGGGUGCUAAGGUCCGUCGUCGAGAGGGUAAGAGCCCAGAUCAACAGCUAAGGUCUCCAAAUCUAUGCUCAGUGGUUAAGGUGGUGACGUUGUAGAGACACCCAGGACGUUGGCUUAGAAGCAGCCAUCGUUUAAAGAAAGCGUAAUAGCUCACUGGUCUAAUGACGUUGCGCCGAAAAUGUAACGGGGCUAAGCAUAGUACCGAAGCUUUGAAUUCCGCAUAUGCGGUCUGGUAGGGGAGCGUUCUUCACGGGCUGAAGGUGUGUCGUAAGGCAUGCUGGACUGUGGAGAAGUGAUUAUGCUGACAUGAGUAACGAUAAAACGGGUGAAAAACCCGUUCGCCGUAAACCCAAGGUUUUCCGGGUAAAGGUAAUCUUCCCGGAGUUAGUCGGCCCCUAAGGCGAGGCUGAAAGGCGUAGCUGAUGGGAAACGUGUUAAUAUUCACGUACUUGUGUGUUCGCGCGAUGAAGGGACGCAGGAAGAUAGGCAAGCCGGGCGCUGGUUGUCCCGGUGCAAGCGUGUAGGGAUGAGAAGUUGGCAAAUCCGCUUCUCUUUAUCCUGAGACGCGAGUCCGUGACCGAAAGGUCUGAAGUUGUUGAGUCUAUGCUGCCUAGAAAAGCUUCUAAGUAUAGGACACGCAAACCGUACCGGAAACCAACUCAGGUGGGUGGGAUGAAUAAUCCAAGGCGCUCGAGAGAACUCUGGCCAAGGAACUCGGCAAAAUAACCCCGUACCUUCGGAAGAAGGGGUGCUUUUUAGGGUGAAACGAUUCACUCUGUCGAGCCCUGAAAAGCCGCAGAGAAAUGGUGGUGGCGACUGUUUACUAAAAACAUAGGUCUGUGCCAAGUCGUAUAGACGACGUAUACGGACUGACGCCUGCCCGGUGCUGGAAGGUUAAAAGGAGGAGUCAGCGCAAGCGAAGCUCCGAAUUGAAGCCCCAGUAAACGGCGGCCGUAACUAUAACGGUCCUAAGGUAGCGAAAUUCCUUGUCGGGUAAGUUCCGACCUGCACGAAUGGCGUAACGAUCUCCACACUGUCUCGGCCAGAGACUCGGUGAAAUUGAAGUCGCGGUGAAAAUGCCGUGUACCCGCAGAAAGACGGAAAGACCCUGUGCACCUUUACUAUAGCUUGACAUUGGGAUUUGAGCCUGCAUGUGUAGCAUAGGUGGGAGGCUGUGAACUCUGUACGCCAGUAUGGAGGGAGCCAUCGUUGAAAUACCACCCUUGUUUGUUCAGGUCCCUAACUCUUCGCCGUGAUCCGGUAAGAGGACAGUGUCUGGUGGGUAGUUUGACUGGGGCGGUCGCCUCC